This 939-nucleotide ribosomal RNA is filed under the name Mycobacterium sp. J1U24. RNAcentral's name for it is "bacterial SSU rRNA". It matches the Rfam family "Bacterial small subunit ribosomal RNA", at positions 509 to 1443 of the family's 1533-position model. The record is from RNAcentral. Lineage: Bacteria; Bacillati; Actinomycetota; Actinomycetes; Mycobacteriales; Mycobacteriaceae.
CAGCAGCCGCGGUAAUACGUAGGGUGCGAGCGUUGUCCGGAAUUACUUGGGCGUAAAGAGCUCGUAGGUGGUUUGUCGCGUUGUUUCGUGAAAACUCACAGCUCAACUGUGGGCGUGCGGGCGAUACGGGCAGACUGGAGUACUGCAGGGGAGACUGGAAUUCCUGGUGUAGCGGUGGAAUUCGCAGAUAUCAGGAGGAACACCGGUGGCGAAGGCGGGUCUCUGGGCAGUAACUGACGCUGAGGAGCGAAAGCGUGGGGAGCGAACAGGAUUAGAUACCCUGGUAGUCCACGCCGUAAACGGUGGGUACUAGGUGUGGGUUUCCUUCCUUGGGAUCCGUGCCGUAGCUAACGCAUUAAGUACCCCGCCUGGGGAGUACGGCCGCAAGGCUAAAACUCAAAGAAAUUGACGGGGGCCCGCACAAGCGGCGGAGCAUGUGGAUUAAUUCGAUGCAACGCGAAGAACCUUACCUGGGUUUGACAUGCACAGGACGACGGCAGAGAUGUCGUUUCCCUUGUGGCCUGUGUGCAAGUGGUGCAUGGCUGUCGUCAGCUCGUGUCGUGAGAUGUUGGGUUAAGUCCCGCAACGAGCGCAACCCCUAUCUUAUGUUGCCAGCGCGUCAUGGCGGGGACUCGUAAGAGACUGCCGGGGUCAACUCGGAGGAAGGUGGGGAUGACGUCAAGUCAUCAUGCCCCUUAUGUCCAGGGCUUCACACAUGCUACAAUGGCCGGUACAGAGGGCUGCGAAUCCGUAAGGUGGAGCGAAUCCCUUCAAAGCCGGUCUCAGUUCGGAUCGGGGUCUGCAACUCGACCCCGUGAAGUCGGAGUCGCUAGUAAUCGCAGAUCAGCAACGCUGCGGUGAAUACGUUCCCGGGCCUUGUACACACCGCCCGUCACGUCAUGAAAGUCGGUAACACCCGAAGCCGGUGGCCUAACCCCU